Molecule: long non-coding RNA, 17518 nt
Filed under: Capsicum annuum
Lineage: Eukaryota; Viridiplantae; Streptophyta; Magnoliopsida; Solanales; Solanaceae
Description: long non-coding RNA (CANN_LNC015628)
Rfam family: tRNA (bases 16876-16949)
Source: RNAcentral
UCGGUUUUGGUCCCUUUUUAAGGAGACUUUAGACCGACUUUCUCCUAAUAUUUGUAGCUGAUUAACUCAAGUUGGUCAAUGACUAAUUUUCCCCUUUCACUUGGGCCUUAGACUUUAGACCGAAUUUCUCCUAACAUUUGUAGAUGAUUAACUCAAGUUGGUCAAUGACUAAUUUUCACCUUUCACUUGGGCCUUUUGGAUCUCUAAAUCAAUGGGCUUUAGUGGCCCAUUUCCUUACUCUUUCUUGCACUUUGUUUGGGCUCAAUUUUGUUAGUAGUGAAUGAAUGUAGUUGGGCCUAUUAUAUAAAAAUCUUGGGCUGAACAUCUUGGCCCAAUAUAAUGUUAAACCAUUGUCUUUAAUAGCCUCCCUAACUUGGGCUUCGUUUGUCACAAGACUUGGAAAGUUUCGGCGUUAAGCCUUGUCUUCGUUCCCCUUUCUUUUUACUAACGUCUAGACUUCAAGUGAGUUCACUUAUGAAUGAAUUCUUCUCCCUCAUGUAUAUAUAAUUUUUAAGCUAAGCACACAGGUGACUCACCUGCUAGCUUCCUAAGUUCCAUAAGCAUGUCAAUGAUUUUCUCCGUUUAAGGCCACAGUCUCUAAAUAGACUUCCAUAUAGUGCCCCAAUCUAACACUUGAACACUUGAAAAAUUUUGUUAGUAAUUAAAUCAAGUCGUAUGUCAUUUUAUGUGAACAUUACUAGUACAUGUAAAAUGUGGGGUGUUACACAGUCACGAUUCGCAUCCUUACUGGAAAUAUCUAUCUUCCCUUUGUCAGUCUUUUACUUCUUUCCUAGGGAGCAAGAAAAGGGCAGCCAUUAGCUCAUCCGUAUCUUGCCCCCAAUUAGUAAGUAAGCCUUCAGUUACCGUGAUUAUUUUCUUCGCCAUAAUGUCAGUUCAAUGUCAAUGACAAUGAUGGUGAAGAAAAGAUGAUCUAAUAAGAUAAGUGUUGAUUAGGAUGAUUUUUGAAUGUGCUCUGUGCUCUCUUCAAUAAAGGCAAUGAACGAAGAUUUCUUCUUAUUUACAGCACUAGAGUCGAGUCGACUUCGGUUCUCUUUCUUUUCAUUUGGUCCAAAGAAUAGGAUCUCUUGCAUUGCGGUACAGCAUAUUCCGACAUAUGGUAAAGUAACCAUUCAUACUAACUUCACAGGAAUAAGCAGAUCAAAGGAAUAACCAUAAAAAAAGAAGGAAAAUGCAAAAUAUACAAAUACGUCGUACUUAAAUAAGUAUAAUCAACACGCAGUAGCCGGGAAAUUAGAAAAACAAGGGCGUUUUGACGUCAUAAUCUUUUUUGAUUGCAUUUUUCACCGGGCUUGGACCAUGUCUCCCAAACAAUCUCAGUACAUAUGGUGCAAGACGAUUCCAUAUAUCGAGGUCGGAAUGGGAUGGGGUGUUUUCACGUCUUACCGUAGUGCCCGGUUUGUCUUAAUUUCCGAUUGAUGAACAAGAAGGAAAAUGGAACAAUUGGAUUUUGGACUCGCCCCCGGAUACGUGUCCUUUGGACCCUUCGUCUGCCCGCCACCAGUGAAAGUAAGCUAGCCCCCUAUGUUGGAAAGUUAGGGGAAGAGUGCAUUUCCAUCACGAAAGAUUCAAUCCAGCCACAGGUUCCCCUACGGCUACCUUGUUACGACUUCACCCCAGUCGAAGACCCCACCGUGGUAUGCACCAAUAAGACCACGAAAGGCCUUUGUGGCACUAGUGUGCCACAGAAGUCAUGGGUGAUCAUUGGUCUGAUGCUUCGGGCGAAACUAAUUCCCAGGGUGUGACGGGAGGUGUGUACAGGGCCUGGGUACAUAUUCACCGCGGCAUGCUGAUCUGCGAUUACUAGAGAUUCCAACUUCAUGUUCCUAAGUUGCAGAGAACAAUCCGAACUGAGGCAAUCUUUCCGGAUUCGCUCUGCCUUACAGCCUUUCUUCCUAUUGUAAUUGCCAUUGUAGAACGUGUGUGGCCCAGCCCAUAAGGGCCAUAUGGACUUAACGUCAUCCCCACCUUCCUCCAGUAUAUCACUGGCAGUCUUUCGUCAGUGCGGCACGCACCUUUUUGUUGGUUUUCGAGCUGUUUGUUUGGGCGGGGCGUACUAAACCCACUAUGUACCACACCACCGGGUGGCUCGCCUGAAUACCAAGUCUUUCUUUGCCAUCAACUUGACAUCAUCGUCACCUGAAAGAUAUGGCCAAAAACAUCGACUUUACUAAACAAGAGAGAAAGGCCCUUUCUAUCAUCAUUAGUCAAGCGCGCUAGCUGCAAUAAAAAAGAGCGCUAACUAGAAAUAGAAAGUGCUUCAAAAGGCACCGGCUACCUUCUUACUGGCAGCACAGCUAGGUGCUGGCACUCAAUUAGUAGCGCUGGCACGUCACUCGGCUCCUCAGCUCACUUCGGUUGCAAAGACUUUCUCCUUAGACGCAUGCCUCAGUAACACAAAAUGAGGGUUUCGCUCGUUAUAGGACUUGAGCAAACAUCUCACGACACGAGCUGACGAUAACCAUGCAGCACCUGUAUGAAAGUCAGUACCAUCCCGUUAAGGAUAGGUUUUCUUGUUCAUAUAUCAAGGGCUGGUAAGGUUUUGCGCAUUGUAUCAAAUUGAACCAUAUGCUCCACUACUUGUGUAGGCCCUCGUCAAUUCUUUUGAGUUUUGGUCUUACGACUGUACUCCCCAGGUAGAGUGUUUCAUGCAUUGCUGGGCCCCUGAUCCGCGUAGAACAAGGGUGAACACUCAUCGUUUACGGCAUGGACUACUAGGGUAUCUAAUCCUGUUCGCUCCCCAUACUUUUGCACCUUAGCGUCGAUAGGGACCUAGAGAGUUGCCUUUGAUUUUGGCAUUCCUUCGUAGAUCUCUGGAUUUCACCCCUACACAUGAAAUUCCACUCUCCACUGUCUCAUUCAAGUGAAUUGGUUUCAAGAGCAUUCCGCCAGUUUUUGGCUGCUUUCACUUUCAACCUGAUUUACCACCUACAUGCCCUUUAUGUCCAGUUAUUCCGAAGAACACUUGCCCCCCUCCGUCUUACCACGACUGCUGGCACAGAGUUAGUCAGGGCUUCUUCCUCGAGUCCUGUCAUGAUCACGCACUCGAUGAAAGAGCUUUACAAGAGGCAUUGCCCUUCUUCACUCACACAAUAUUACUGGAUCGCACUUUUGCCCAUUGUCCAAGAUUCCCCACUGCUGCCCCUCAUGGGAGUUUGGGCCGUGUCUUAGUCCUAGUGUGGCUGAUCAUCCGAAAAGACCAGCUAAGCAUCAUUGGCUUGGUCAGCCUUUACCUGACCAACUACCUAAUACUACACAGGCUCUUCAAACAGUGCUUUUUAGCUUUCUUUAGGAUUUGGCCCGAAUUGUUCGGCAGAUUCCCACGCAUUAUGCACCCGUUCGCCACUUUGUUCUCAACUCUUCUUACCUCCUGGGAAAGACAAGCUACCUUUAUCUAGGAGCCACUUUUCCUUCUGCCCAGCUCCCCAAAAACAACGUUCAACUUGCAUGUGUUAAGCAUAUAGCUAGCAUUCCUUCUGAGCCAGGAUCAAACUCUUUUUUUGACUAUGAUUGGGCCCUGCAGUGGUAGAACCUGGUGAAUCGGGUGUACUAUUUCCCAACCUUCUGUGAACUUUUCUUCUCUUAUGCUUUUUGCUACUUUUUUAUAGUAUUGGUCUCGUUUAGAGUAUCAGUCUAGUCACUCAAAUAGUCCACUCAUGGAGUGCGUUUGGUAUAGUAGUAGUCUGGUAGUUGAGACUUUGCCCCUUCUUCUUCAGUAAAGUCGAGCCCAACUAAACUAUUGAUUACGCUAAACAUAGCUUUAGAGGCUCUUACUAGAUAGGGCGGCAGAAUAGAAGUCUCACUACAAGCUUUUAGUCUUAAGCAGGCAGCGGCGGUCAGGAAUGAAUGUUAUAUUAAACUAUCCGCCAUUUCAUUAGGACAACACUUGCUUAGUUUUUUUCUAGCUUGAUUGCGAAGCAUGGUUUGGAAAGGUCAGUUGAAAGACGAUAUAUAUCAACAUUCAAACCUAUUACUUUGUGGCUGGCCCCAGUGCUUAACAUCAGGUUCUCUCCACAUACAUAUGAAAAGUAAGACAACCAUAUUAGCUCAUCAACUCUCCUUAACGUACCCUCACUAUAUAGGUGCGGACUUGCGUACGGUUUCACUUACCUAACAGCUGCCAAAAGCAAAAGCUUCAAUAUUGAUGGGCUUAUUAUCUUUUUUCUUAUCUUAAUAAAAGGGAAAAUAAGAGAGAGAUCACUCCUCCGGCAGUCGCUAAACAUUGUGCCUUCCUUUCUGCUUACACCAUUUCUUUAUGAAUGCUCCGCUUUUCGCUUUGUCGCGCUACUUCUGCUAGCAACCGGCUUUGGAUUCUCCUUAAGGCACCGUGUUGAGUAGGGAUUUGAAUAGAAACUCUAUUUUAGGGAUCAAUGUUGCUGGACUCUACUCCUCUCCCUAGGCUUGCUCUGCUCUAUACCCAAAGCUUCAACUCAAUCACUUGAGACUUCUGGUCUUAUGUCCUCCACACAGGCCUUGAAUGCUUCUUUUUAUAAUGAAGUCGAGUUAUGGCAUCAUAGAUUAAGGUAUCUUUAUGUGUCAAAGAGACGAGUCUUAGUUCCUAGUUUAUCUGAAUCAAGUGUGUCUGAGUUGCAGUCUUAUGUAUGUAAGAGGGCUAAGCAUAUUCUAAAGUAAUAUUCCUAUAGUGAGAGUCAUUGUAGUGUACUAUUUGAGUUAGUUCACUCUGAUGUACGGGGGAAUGCCCCUACUCUUUCUUUAUUGGGUUAUAAUGAUUUUGUGACUUUUUUGGAUUCUUUAUCUCAUCUUACUACUAUUUAUCAACAAAUAUCAUUGGAUGAGGUUAGUUUUAUCCUUCCUUUAAGAUGAAUCUUCAAAAGUCUUUAUGGUCUGAAGCAGUGUUAACCUAGUUUUACCUGAUUAAUAGGGAUGCUUUCCAUGGUAUUGAAAGGGACCUGUACAAGUGUGAAAUCCUAAUGCUAAAAACUUUAUUCUUCUACCUAAUUUCUAAAUGUAUCGAAGUCCUGGGUAGUAAAGAAAAGUGGGAUGCUAUAUUUCCAGGAUUGGGAUUCGUAAGUAUGUUAAUAGAUUCUUGAUCUAUAUCUUCUAUUUUUGGGUGUGUGUUAUGUCUAUGUAACCGGGACCUCUCAUGAGAAAUUGGAUCCUAGAGCUGUGAGAUGUGUCUUCACUGGUUAUCCGACAUCACAAAAUGCUUUGAUCCCAUUACAAAAAGAAAGUAUGUCUCUAUGGAUGUUACUUGAUUUUCAAAUCAACCCGAUUUUCAUGACCCAACCAAGAAAACCUUGAGUCAUCAACAAGAAGAACCUGAGUCAAGUGAUCAGCCGUCUUUUAUAAUCCCUAUGUCAUCUGCCCAUAGAGAAAACAAUGCUACUACUCCUCCAGGGGAAGAUGCGGUCAAGACCAAUUAGUGGAAGACAUACUAACCUGACGAGGUAAGAGAGGACAAGUUGUCCCUUAUGUUCCUCUUGUUAACAGCGAGGAUCUUUUCCUUGAAUUGGGAAAUGCCAAUAUGCCUCAAGUGAAGAGAGUGAAACUAACCCUGAAACUUCUGAUCUUGAUCUUACGAUUACAGUCAGGAAAGGGGAAAAAGAGCUUGUACCUAACUCCCUUUGAACUACUAUAUAUCCUAUCCAAAAUUGUCAUCCUCCUACAAGGCCUUUAUAUCCACUUGUAAUUCGGUAUCCAUACCAAAGACUAGAAGGAAAGCCUUGUGUGCCCGUUACUGGAAUAGGGCGAUGAUGGAUGAGAUGAGUGCACUUGAGAAGAAUGAGACAUGGGAGAUUGUUGAUUUACCUCCUGGAAAGAAGACUGUGGGAUCUAAAUGUAAAUGGAUAUACACAGUGAAAUUCCAACCAAGUGGGGGAGAUUGAGAGAUAUAAAUCAAGGUUAGUGGCAAGAGGAUUCACACAAACCAAAGGAAUAGACUAUGGCGAGACCCUUUCAACAGAGGCAAAGGUCAUUUCUAUUAGAAUCUUACUUUCCUUGGCUACACAGAGAUCAUGGCGAUUGUAUCAGUUAGAUGUGAAAAAUGCCUUUUUGCAUGGGGACUCGCACGAGGAGGUGUAUAUAGAGAUAGCACAUGGAUAUGGAAUGAAAGGCGAGUCACAUAAAGUAUGCAGAUUGAAAAAAGCCCUGUAUGGAUUGAAGCAAUCCCUGAAGGCGUGGUUUGAGAAGUUCAGUAAGGCCAUAGUUUAGUUUGGCUACGAAAGGUGUGCUUCUGAUCACACACAUUUCGUAAUGUAAUAAAGGGUGAGAAAGUGAGCCGGAUCAUAGUAAAUAUUUAGAAUAUUGUGGUCACUGGUGAUGAUGUUGAUGAGAUUGCAAGAUUGAAGGCUUACCUGAGCCGCACCUUCGACAUAAACUUAGCAUGCUGACGGUACUUCUUGGACACAGAGGUUUUCAAAAUCUAUAAGAAGUAGAACCAUCUCUCAAAUUAUGUCCUUGAUUUGAAGAAAACAGGGAUGUUAGGUUGCAAGGACGCAAUUAUCCCAAUAGAAGAAAAUCAUAAGCUUGAAGAAAAGAGAAAAGAACCCUUGGAUGAUGUAGGCAUCAGAGACUUGUGGGAAAAUGUCAGAUAUCAUACUAUCACUAGACCUGACAUUACCUAUGCUGUGGGAUUGGUAAGCCAUUAUAUGCAUGCUCCUUGUCAAGCACACCUACAUGUAGUAUAUAGGAUCUUGAGGUACCUCAAAGGUUAUCUUGGUAAAUGUAUGAUCUAUACUAAUCAUGGCCAUGGGAGAGUGGAAAUCUAUAGUAAUGUUGAUUGGGGUGGGUCAGUAGAGGACAGGAGAUCAACUUUAGGAUGAGAAAAAAUCACUGAGAAAGCAUCUUGGCAAAGAUAAAAGAGUUUGACACCUGACCGAAACAAAGCCCGUAUUCUUCCUAAACCCCCUAUUCUUAGCAUGACGGAUAUUGAAUAAAGGGACGACCAAGGGGAUUUGAGGGAAGCAUAAAGGAAGACGCCAAAAGUUUAUGUUAAAAGAGAUGGCUAUGAGACUAAUGCAAACAAUAUGUGGAAAUAGUCGAUUUAGUAGUCUUCUUUCUUUCUCCGGGUAUGAACUCCUCCCUUGAGGAAGGCCCCUGUUGUGGAAAUUCAACACAGAGGGUGUAGUUACUAUAACUAAUAAGAAGCAUAGUAAAGUCAGUGUAGAAUAAUGAAAUCUCUUAUUAGCGAAGGAAGGAAGGAAGUGUAGCUUUGAAAGCACCAAGGAGGCAUUAGGGGAAACCGUCAUAGGAAGGAAGUGUAGCUUUGAAAGCACCGAGGAGGCAUUAGGGGAAACUGUCAUUCAAGGUCGGAAGAAUCGGAAACCGACUUAAAAAUGGAACCCUUUCUCUAGCAGCCUCUUGGCUUCUUUCUUUACAAUCAGUCCAGGCCAGUAGCUGCUCCUGGCUUUUGGACAGCUAGAGCACCGACAGAUAGAGUGAAGAGUCCAUAAGGAGAAGAGCCAAGGCUUAUUGUAGAUAAGGGUUGUAUACGAUAAGUUUGAGUCAACUAUCUUAUUCGCGAGAAUUUAUUCUCUUCGGUCUUGUCUCCUCACUAAGUGGCUGCACACACCUAUCUUAUAGAUAGAGUCAUGCACGAAACGGGUAUUUACUUGUUAUUUUUAGCAUGUGCUAGCUAAAGGGUAUCUGCGGUUGAAUUCAUUGUUUUGCUGGUCGACUGAGGAAAAGGCAAAUGGUAUUUGGAGGAAAGGCAUGAUUUUCGUCUUGAUGAAGUGUAGAACGGGGUUUUCUUUCCAUUGAGCCGGGGAGACAAUCUAAAUCGUAGUCAUUGUCCAUUAUUUGAUUGAGCACGACGUGGUCUGCUAGUCACGUUAAACCAUCCAAAGGAGUACCGUUAGCCCCCAAAAGUGUUUUUCUUCUCGCGCGAAAGAAAAAAGAUGUUUAGCUUUUUUUAUCUGCCUCCUUUACCUAUCAAAGAUUCUGUUAACAUUGCAGAUGGCGCUCUCUUACCUCUUUCACACUAUGGGUCUAUGUCUUCAUCCCGGAUUCUUCAUGAUAGAUUCCAUUUUCCUCCUAAAAAGAAAUUUCUGUCAGUCACCUUGCAGCUAACCAUCUUCGUGUCAUCUUUUCUUCUUCUGAGUGUCUUAUCCACGAUCAGCGCAUGGGAAGGAUUGUUAGCCGAUUGGGAAAGCUUUAUUAUACGGAUAUUCUUCUCUACAUUCCCUUUUUUAGCUACUUCGUUAGGAUAAGGAAUGGGACCCGCCGUCGCCUGAGACAUACACAACACACAGUGCAAGAAUUCUUCCAUUAUCUAGGGUAUAUUCCUGCAUUUCAUUUAGAUGGGUUGAACAAUUCAUGUGAUUGUUUACAGUUGGAAAUUGUAUGCUCCUGGAUUAAACAUAAGAAUCCAAUUCUUUCUUUGGAUUGAUUCAUUCGUUAGUGUCCACUUGUGAUUUGACCUACGGCUGAUUGUUGGAUAUAUCACAGACAACUACUUGAAUUUCAUUAAGGGGUCCUACUCGAGUGCAGUCAUUCAUAGGUGCAAGGUACUUUACUUACUAUUAUAAGUGGAUGACUACAGUAGAUACAUCUGGCUUUCUUUACUUAGAGAGAAGUCCUAAGCUCUUUUGUUGUUGAAUAUAUAGAAAGUUUGGAAAAUAAGUCAAAUCUCCAGAUCAAGAGGUUGAGGUCUGAACUCCGGUGGAGAAUGCAUGUCAAGGGUGUUUGAUUUCAUGCUCCUGAAGAUAGGAAUCAAACGUGAGCUGUCGUGUGUUCAUACUCCACUGCAGAAUAGGGUGUCUGGAAGAAAACACCGACAUAUAGUUGAAAUGGCUUUGACUUUGAUGAUAAAUAAUGGAGUACCAAAUCAUCUAUGGGUUGAAGCAUUCACUACUGCAGUGUAUUUAAUCAAUAGAUUGCCAUUUUCUAUUAUCAACAUGCAAUCUCCCUUUUCUUCUCUUUAUGGUCGUGAUACUUUUCAGGGGGAGAUCACUACCCUUUCUGAGACAUCUGACUGGGGUGGCCAUCACCUUCUCGUCGGUGAUCACUGUCGCCAAGAAUGGCAUAGUCGCAAAGCUUCGUUGUGCCAUACACCCUUUCAGUAGCUAUCCACACAAGCAUAUGAUGUUUAAGUGUGAAUAGAGGCUAAUAACUCAAAAAUCAGAGGGGUUGACCCUUCAUAAACGUCACAACUGAUGACCUAUAGACUUUAUUAUAUUAUAGAAACUAUAUGGUAAUUGAAAGACUGUACAGAACAAAGUAUGAACAGUCCAGGAAGUUGCAAAGGGAUUUCCAAACAACCCUACAUAUAGGACAUUAGGAUAACAGAUAAGGAAUCGAUAGCAGCCUUAACAUAGAUAAAAAGAGAAGAAUUUUUGCUUUCUUCUGAAGUACUGCAACGGUUGGGUCUUAUUAUAGGUACCAUCCAUUCUGAACCUUGCCAAAACCUUCAUCCAUCAUGUAUAGGCCGUACCAAGGCCUGAUAUAAGGGUAAGCCAAUAGCAAAUAACCUUUUCUUCCCUGCCUCCUCGACCUUCAUUCCCAUUCUACAGCCAAAGUGAUAGCGGCUGUAGCAUCCACCAAUAAUGUGUGGAAGAGGGUAAGAUUUCUAUGUGGAUAGGACGUAUCAACACCUUUUGCAUCUUUUUAUUUGAAAAGAAAUAUAGUGGAAUAAUAUAGUGUUGGGUCCUGAGGACUAUGAUGGCCUAAGAUCAAAACCUAAAUGUGCUAGGGUUGAUCAUCGAAGCCUGGGCAAUAACGAUUAAGGAAUUUGAGCGCUGAUGUAGCUAAGAGCCACCUUCAUCGUCAAUUCAUUAGGGUUGUCACCUUCUACCCAAAAAAGUAUCCACCCUUUUAUUUAUCUAUUAAGCCUCACUACUAUGGGACUUUCUAAAGAAAACUGCAAUCGCAGUUUAUCAACCACUCACAAGACCACCAAGAUCUUUGACUUAGCUCCCAAAGGUAAUCCACCCGGCCCUUUCCCAACCUAUACAAGGAGAGUGGAAGAUAACGAAAGGGAGACAGGGUCCUAACUAAAUAUAACACAAACUAUCAUUCUAUCUAUCAUAUUAGUCGAGUCAAUCCGAUUCGUUCUUAUCUAUAGAUAAGGCAAGAGAGAACUUAUGACCUCAUGGAUGGAGAGGGAUUCGAACCCCUGGUAUUUCAAAAAAUACUUCGGUUUUCAAGGCCGACUCUGUCAACCACUCAGACAUCCAUCUCCUUUGUGCUUCGCCCACCCUAUCCAUCCUUAGUUGGAAGAUAGGGGCUUAUCUAUGUGAUUCUCUAUGCUUGCCUGCGCCUAUCGGCUGAUUCUAUUGCCUGCCGGUUAGCAAAACUUUUCCAAUAAUUUGAAUCGCUACGCUUCGCCUCUUUGUAUAUGAUAAUAUGCAUCUUGGUUGCUGCGCUCCCUAUGGGUAAUAGCAAGAGAGUGAAUAACGAAUGAUCCUCCAAACUCAAAGAGUGAUUGAGUCCGACUCAAGCAAGUGAGUGAAAGGCGUGGCAAGAGAGCGAGUUUGACUUGCGAAUGAUCAUCAAGUGAAGGACCGAUCCUUUUACGCCAAUACUAUUGCGAGACUGGUACUUGGAGGCUCACGAGCAACAUAUAGACUAAAGUUGCCUAUCACUCCCUUGCUCUUUUUUGAAGGCCCUUUCAAUUCUCUUUCAAGUAUGCUUCCUCCAUAAGAACACUGAACGCCUAGCUUUGCAGAGCAGCUCUCUCCCCAGCCCACAACAUAUUGUGGAAUCUGGAUCCUUUCAUCGAGCAUCAUUUCUUUUAGAUAGAAAGGUGUUCUGACUCUAUUGAAUCAAGUCAUAAGCUAAGACUUCUACUAGUAGACUACUAUAGAGAGACUAAGCUCUAUUUCAGAGAUCGGACUCUCUUAUUGUGAUUAGUUCCUACUAGUAAGAAGCUGUUCCCGAGCCAGGUUCCCUGGAUCCACGUGUUCCUAGCCGGGCCUAAAUGGAUGAAUGAAGAAGCGCGCCCGGGUAGACUUCAAGAGCUCUUGCUCUGCCUAUCCUCCAACUUCUUAUUCUGGGGGUCAUAGAAAGAUACAAACCGCUUACUCUCCCUGCCAUUAGAUUGUUGAAAAUGAAAGCGGCUUGUCCUUACUAAUAAAAAACAGCAAUCCCUCCCCUUCUGUUACCUACUUUUACUCAUUUCUUCAGUAUACCUUAAUACAAGACAAGCGCAGGAAAGGAUAAACAAUUAAAACUGGGUUAUCGCCCUAUCUAAGCACCUUUCCCCUCUCUUCUAUGGAAGUAAUCAUCAAAAUCUAUUUCAGUUCCUGUGUCUGUCGCUAUCGCCCUAUUCUCUCUCAAUUGCCUAUCCUUUUUAGAUGAGGGGUAGUCCCUUAGCAGUAGCUUCCACCACUUCAGAUUGACCUCCUCAAGUGCCAGAUAUGAAUGUUUUCUGAAUUUCAUAAGGGACUACUUACUUACCGCUCCGUGGGGUACACUUUUAGCUUACCAAAAAAGUUGACUGAAGGAACUGACCUAAGCACAACUCUCUCUCUCAAAUACAAAUGUCAAGAAAGGGAUUCCUUGGAUAAGUGGAAAAAUGCUCCAAAAAUCCUUUCAUUUCUCUUUAAAGGCCUUUGUCCUACUUAUAGUAUCAGUCCUCCAGCCUAUACUUGUGUUUUUAUUAACCAAGAACACAUGUACUUUGUUGGCACUCAAAAAAAAGGUUAUUCAAUCCAAUAGUGCAACUGAAGGUGCAUAACCUCUUCUGAACCGGAACAAGAAAGAGCUCAUAACCACUUCUUGUGAACAACUCUCCUCAACUUAAGGCGCACCUACUCUUACUAAAAGUCUAGUCUCUCUCAGCUUUUGAUCUCUAACUAACUUACUUAAUAGGCCAGACCGGAAGAGAGAUAUUCAGAUAACCCAAUUUCCUGGCUUAAGAACCUGACUCAAAAGAGAAAAGAAGACAAGACUAAAAAAGAUCUCACUUUCAAUGAUUGAACGUCGACUUUUUUAUCCAGAUUGGAACAGGACUUAAACUUCUUUGGAUCCUGCUUAGGGCUGGCUUUCACUUUUGAAACAUCGACUUGCACUUGCAAUAUAGAAUUUAACUUUUCGGAAUCCUUGCUGUUGGCUUAUAUUUACAUAGGCCACUCAUAAGAAUAAGACGUUCAACUCCCUAAAACACGUGUAAUUGAGAGAGUCAUCAUAUCAGUGCCUUGGGGAAAUGCCUACCUUCAGGAGAAGAUUACCGAAUGAAUUUCAAACCUGUCCUCUUUGCUUCCCAAUAUAUUUAGGGAAAGGGGCGUUCAGCCACUUGACUCAUCGGAAGGGGCCUUGUCGGCCACCGCUUGCUGACGACGGAAUGCAUAGUCAAUUAAAGGGUCCUCGCCUUGGACUUAGUUGGAAAGGUAGGUGUUCGGCAUGUCCCUUGCUUGCGAACUUCUUUAGUAGGGCGGAGGUGCCAUUCCUCACGUUUACCCUUGUCCCCAGACUUCACUCUUUCAACACUUGUAUACUUUCUAAAGAGUCAGGCAUGCCCCUGUCCCUGUCUCCAAGUGUGUGAUCCACCGAUUCACUGAGUGACUUUUUCUUACCGCUGCGCUGGAGUCCCUAUCUCUUAAAGGGUUGGUGUGGCAGACUUCCCCCUUGUUUGCUAAUUUAAGAAAGCCUUAUAUGGAUUCAAAUAAGCGAGAAAGUCCCUUUCUAUUGUCAUUAUUCAAGUCCCUUUCUAUCUUCAUUAUUCAAGCGCGCUAGUUGCAAUCAAAAAAGAGAGCUAACGAGCAAGAAAAGGGAUGCACUAAGAAGCAAGGGCUUUUGCGCAGCUACUGCGCCCUUGCUUCUUGCUUUUGAGCCGGAGCUUGCUGGGUAGUGAAGUUGUCCGUGAAUGUUAAAUAAGACUUGUGUUAAGAAAAUAGAGUAGUCAAGCCAAAAAAGCAAGAAGUGGUUUUCGUUCGAUCGACGGAAUCAAUCGUACUUUCACUGCUGUGGACCGGCUUUCAUAAAGCACCUUUGGGCAGCAGCUACUAUUGGGACCUAAUUUCGAGAUCAAUUUGACAAUGAAACUCUUUAAUCAAUGAUCUUAUCUAUGUCAUUUCUCUUGACGCGAUACAAAAGAUGACUUUCUAGAAUCACUUAGCCUCUUGACCUCUUCUCUCAAAAAAGACGUUGUGCAGGCAAGUCAUCAAAGUCAGAGCGGGGAGGGAAUGUUUAUUUAUAGUUGUUGUAGUAUGACUUUUCAUUUCCUGUUCGGUCUUUCAAUAAGUAGUCAGCUGCGGACGUAGUCAGACGUCGACAUUGAUUGAAGCAGCUAUUGGAGAGAAGGCACCAGUCAGACCUGCAAGCACCGGGUAGUAUGCAGUGGUAAUUUCAAUCAUACAAUGUGUUCUCUUAGUAUGAAUUUUAGCGGUAGUCAGUUGUCCUCGUUCUCCUCUUUGAAUUGCCCUACUGAGUAAGGGUCGGUGCUUGCAAAAAUAUCGAGUCGACGGGGUUAAGUACCAGUAGUGACACUAGCAAAGGGGGUCUGGACACUACUUGUGUGAGUGGAAUGACCCAACUGGACCUAGUCAGCCCGAACCAUUUUGUGGUUCUAGAGGACCCUGAACCAGAAGAGGCAAAGAUGCCAGAUCUGGACACUGCUGAACUGGAAGAGAUUGCUCAGGAUGAGUGUUUGGGUAACAAAGUCGAGGAGGGUGUAGUCAAGGAGAAAACUCCUAAGGAGAGUGAUUUGGCUCAUAGAAGCAAGGAUCUGGAAGAGAGGGUCAACUAUGGCAGUGACUGAGGGUGACUUGUUCUGUGAUAAACAAAUGACUUCAAACCUCAGGGCAUCCAAAAGAGGUGAACCUGAGAAGAGCAGUAAGAGUAAGCGUUCAAGUACUGGUGCUAUGACCUUAAAGGUGGAAGAUCCUCCCCUGGUUCGAAUCACCCUGAAUGAAGAGUGGGCGAACAAGAUGCAAAACAUAUCAUAAAUGUUGAAUUCUAAGAAAGAGGGGGGCCCUUCCCGCGGAUGUGCCUUUAUUUAUAUUCUUUCAAUUUUAGAAUUACCAAUGGAGAAUCUUUCUACAAAAAUCUCUCUGGCAAAACGCAAUUCAUCGAGUUCAAUUCAAGGUGCACUUUUGUUUUUCAGGUAUCUUUUUCUUAUGCCUAUUUAGCUAGUGGGACAUUGGUCAUAGCCGAAAUUCGUCGAAGGGAUAAAACCAAAAUAAAGAAGAGAAAGAAAGGGAAGUUUUUUCUUUCUUUCAAUCCAAAUAAGAGAACAAAGAAAUCACUCCAAAAUGAAAGUUAGAUAAAGAAGUGUUAGUAAGAACUAGCACUAGACUUCUUCCCCCCUUUCUUUUUGACUUUUUCUCUAUCCUUUUGUUUGUGCUUCCACCCGGGCUUUUCAUUUUGUUUUAUAGAGACCCGAGGAAAUUCUAUAUAAUAAAUGUAGAAAGGUGAGGGUGAGAUACUUUCCCCGGCAUACAGAAAGAAAAUCCAGGAUGACGGCUUUCAAAAGACAAGUAAGGGAUUGGGAGAGGGCGACUGAAAAGGAGGCUCGACCUACAGAGAGAAGGAGUCUCUCGAAACCAAAUAAGACUAUAAAGAACAUGGGAAUUAGCACCAUUCAUAUGAGUGCUUUUGUUUUGUCUCUUCGAGAUAACAAAACAAAAAGACAGCCCUCUCUAUAUCUCGGUCUCGAUUUAGCAUCAUAUAUUGCUCUGGAGAGCUUUUUUUUUGGUUGUAGUGAGGAUGUUGGAGAAGCUCCUCUAUGUUGUGGGUGUGGAGGGGGGGCUGUCACCACUUGAUAGAGGUAGAAGUGGGGGCCACCGGAGCUAUCUGCAUCGAGUGUUUCAAUUAAAAGGAGAAGGGAGACAACUUAAAUGCCCGUACAAAAAUAGAAAGAGUCAUCCUUCAAAGUGGAAUUCUUCUAAGAUCCAUUGCUCAAUUUUGCUGCAUGCUUUGCUCCCAAAAUGCAGAGAGACUUGCGAAGCCAGAUCCGGGUUGGUUGGUCCAGAAAGUCAUGGGAGAGGCAGGCUAAGUAAAAUAAUAUACUGGUGCUAUUGAUUAUAGAAUCUUAUGAAUCAAGAACGGCACACUUUCUAUAUCUCCUCCAUCUACAAGGUAAAUAGCUUAUCUUAGAGCACAGCGUGUUCGCCACCACACUGGCUGGUUGGUGCAUUGGCCUUACCGUAAGAAGUCCGAGAGCGAUAUAUCUCGUGACAUGCGGAGCAUGGCAUUUUUUUUAGAAAGUACGUAUAACUUCAAAAGAAUCGUUCUUUAUGAAUCAAGUACCAUUCAAACAAAGGGUGCAUUGCUUCUUUGAGUGAAGAAGAGAGGGGAUUUGUAUAGACACUCUUGAGCUAUGUUCGUCGCCCUACGCUUACCAUUAUUUCAUUUCAUUCUAUUGAUUGGUUCUAGCUCCAAAGAACAUAUACAUGGAGCUAUGUCGACUUACGUAUGUCUUGUUGACUAAACGAUCAGGUAUACCAUGCCACGUAUCAUCCACUCGGCUCAAGCCAAGGACAGAUAAAGAAAAAUCAAAGAUAUAGUGAUCUUGCCAUAAGACCUUGUUCCUUUCUACUUGACAUUCUUUAUUUUCCUCGGUUUUUACCCCACAAAGCGGUAGCUUGCUUACUUACUUAGCACUUACGCUAACGAUCUAAUCAGAGUCAAACGUCGGAUUUGAAAAAAAAACCUUUCCCUUAUUAGCCGGAGUACAAGUGUACUCUUUUUUCUUUAGUAAAGGCGGAUUAAGCCAAAAAAAUUUUUUUUCGAACAGUCUCAAUGUCCUCGUUGAGAGUCGCUCUGUGAGACAUCUAAUAGUCUCUGACUUAGUCUUUGAAUCCUAAGUCUCAGCCCCUUCCCGGCUUGCCUCGCUCUCAGGUUGGCCUUUCUACUUGACUAAGUAGUAUUCCACUCGUGCAGUGGGUGUAUGGGCUAGCCCAUGGUGCGGUCAGCUAUGAUAUACUCAACUUCUUCUUUAGUAGGUUUAUCUACAACAUCUGGUGGUGCCCUCGUGGGUACGUUCCUUUCUGGGGAGGUCUGGUCUAAUCGAAUUCAACUGACUCACAUAGAAUACGGGGUUCGUUUUCACCGAGCUGGUUGCUUGAGUCUAUAGGAUACCUUUCCUAUCCGCUUUUCUACAAGGUCUACUUUCAGACCGGGCCAAGACUUUAGGUUGUUUAAGUAGGUUUGGGCUAAGGUUGUUGCGCUCCUGCCACUUCUUGGCAAAGUAUGCUGAUGGGCAAGCCCCCUCCUGUCGCAAUGGUGUGGGCGUUAGAGGCUGUUACCCCGUGGCCAACUCGAAGGGGCUGAAGUUUGACGCAGAGCUUUUUAGUUGUUAAGUUAUAGCAGGACUGAGCAACAUCCAACAGCUCUAGUCCUUCUAGUUUACACUAAAGUGGCAUAAGUAGCCAUCGAGGAGUCCAUUUAUUCUCUCCGUCUGAGCUUUCAAAGAUAUACUGACCUACAGCAUCUGACCAUCAGAUGCCUACGGUCGUCUUCUAACAUUACCGAUAUUUUGGGUUUUCAUAAAUUGAACAUAAGAUAAAAGCUCUUUUCAUCAUCAAAAACAACCAGAUUUCCGACCUCUUGCAUUACCAUAACGAAAUAAAAAAAGAAUGAAAAAAAAAAAGAUUGCUCUUUUGACUCAGGAUGAACCUUUAUCGGUGGAGGAAAGGAAUAGCGAUGGAUUCCUAUAGAGCAUCCAGGAAAAAACAGAUUCAAUCGGACGACGAAUUCUUACGUGGUCCAAGGAAAUCAAAGGUCCACUUCUACGAAUUCAAUCUAUAUUAAAUCACUUAAUAUCAAAAUAGCUUAUAUAGGCAUGAUUCAAUUCGCGAAUUAGCCCACUAUGAUUCUACUACAUUUUUUACAUAAUAUAUAUAUAUAUAAUUAGAUAAUAAUAAUAAUAAAGUAUAUCAUUCAUCUCUCUCUUACAACACAGCGAAACUAAAUGGUUCGAAUCUAAAUUGAUUUAGGGUCUGUACACCUAAUUUUCUAGAGAUUGUAGUUCAAUCGGUCAGAGCACCGCCCUGUCAAGGCGGAAGCUGCGGGUUCGAGCCCCGUCAGUCCCGACGGAUUCAAUAAAUAUAUCAAUUCAUCUCUCCAUUUUCUGUGAAAGGGGGACAGGAAGCAUAAUUUCAUUCCCAACGGGGGAUCUUUUUUUUUUCUUUUUUGUUUCGCAUUUCUCAUCAAAGGUGGCCCUUGGGCCACUUAACUGAUUGGAAAGGGGAUUUUUUCAUUACUUCAACUAGUACCGAUUGAUGGGAGAGAGACAUAUGUGGAUUAGUACAAUUUAUUAUUUAUUGGCAUAUUCAGGAUUCCAAGAGAGACUGGGUCCGGUUUUUCAACCCGAUCUAUGUAUGUAAUGAAAUAGAGUACCUUAUUUCUUUUUAUCGGGAGCACAUACACAAAUGGAAUUCCUUUCUUGUACGAUACAAAAUGAAUUUCACUCAAUUACAUUACCCUUAGAGAAUACUUUUCCAGAUUCCACUUUUUCCUUUUCUGGCUCCGAUUUUGUGUAACCUCAAUUAUGAACAUUUUGAAUUUGAAAAAAGAAAGAUAUAUCUCAUUCAAAUUUCACACUGAGCUUUUGAUAUAUGCGUCCCAGUACUAAUCCAAGGAAGGAGGAUAUUCAAAAAAA